Molecule: ribosomal RNA, 371 nt
Filed under: Ptychosyrinx carynae
Lineage: Eukaryota; Metazoa; Mollusca; Gastropoda; Neogastropoda; Turridae
Description: partial small subunit ribosomal RNA
Source: RNAcentral
UCCUGGUUAUAAAUCGAAAUUGAAUUUACCAGAGUACUAUGAAUAUUAUAAAAUUUAAAACUCAAAGGACUUGGCGGUGUUUUAGACCAUUUAGGGGAACCUGUCCCAUAAUCGAUAAUCCGCGUUACACCUAACCUUUUUUUGCUUUCAGCUUGUAUAUCGUUGUCGUCAGGUAACUUUUUAGAAAUUAGAAGUUAGCUAAAAAUAGUAAGUUUAAACGUCAAAUCAAGGUGCAGCUAAUAAAAAGGUGAGGAUGGGUUACAAUUAUUUUAAUUAUAAUUAUGGAAAAUCAUAAGAAUCAAUGAUAACGAAAGAGGACUUAAAAGUAAAUUAGAUUAUAUAAAUAAUUUGAAUAAGGCUCUGAAAUGUGC